Sorex fumeus (smoky shrew) is the source of this 687-nucleotide non-coding RNA. The record is from the annotation of a RefSeq genome assembly. NCBI's taxonomy places the organism in Eukaryota, Metazoa, Chordata, Mammalia, Eulipotyphla, Soricidae.
AUGUGCGAUAUAGGAUGUGGGCUGAAGGAGAACAAUGCAUUCAAGGGGAAUUCGGUGGAGGCGAUUAAUCCCAUCUAUCCCUUCUGGACUCAUUUCCAUCUGGUCAGCUCAGAAGGGAAUCUUUCAGUGAAAGAGGGACUGAAAAACAUAGAAGAAUGUCCAAAGAGUAGAGUGUAUGUUGGUGGUUCUCAGAAGGCAGAGAGCGUUUAUAAAUGUGGAGAACAAACCCCACAAUCUGAGUCUGAGGUGGAAGUGGUGAGACUGUGUCUCAGGAAUGUAUUUGGACAAGGGUCAGUGUCUGUCACUCCCAGCGUGGACAUGAGGGCCCUUGUGCAGCUCCUCAGCUUCCUGCUGCUCUGGCUCCCGGGUGCCAGGUGUGAUAUCCAGAUGACCCAGCCUCUAUCCAUGUCUGCAUCUCUGGGAGACAAAGUCACAAUCACCUGCAAGGCUAGUCAGUUCAUUGGCAAUUUUUUAGCCUGGUAUCAGCAGAAACCAGGGAAUGCUCCCAGGAUUCUGAUCUAUUUGGCAACCAACUUAGGACCAGACGUUCCUCCCCGGUUCAGUGGCAGUGGAUUUGGGACAGAUUUCACUCUCACCAUCAGCAGCCUGAUGCCUGAGGACGUUGCCACUUAUUAUUGUCUACGGCAUAAUGCUUACCCUCUCACAGUGAUACACGCCAGCACAUAA